RNAcentral lists this long non-coding RNA (1058 nucleotides) under Equus asinus (donkey). Its description in RNAcentral is "lncRNA (ENSEASG00005025326.1)". The record is from RNAcentral. Lineage: Eukaryota; Metazoa; Chordata; Mammalia; Perissodactyla; Equidae.
CUUUAUAACAAUCAUAAUGUAAGAAAAGUGGUUAUAUUAACCUUCUACAGAGUCUUUAAUUUGCCAGUGAAAACAAACAAUUUUAAAAUGGAAAACAGGAUUCAUCUGAGAAGCAGGCCAGGAGUUCUGAAAGCCCUAAAUAGCAUAUCGUAUCUUUUUCACUUUAUUGCCACACCUCUAAUUUGCUUGGAGGAACUUGUGUUAACUGUUAUAAAGAAAACUUCCAUAAUAAAAUCCAUCAGGCUUUUGAUAGUCUCUAUUUUAAUAUUAGUUGUAUCUCCAUUGUAGAUUCCUUAACCAACUUUCUAGCAUAUUCCAAUAUGCUAGAAUGAUUUCUGCCACCUGGAGCCAUUAUCAUCUUGAACCACUGUAGAGCUUUGGGCUUAUCUGCAUAAAACUACAUCGUGUGUGCAUCUACAAUUGAUUCUACGGGAACUAUAAAUAGAGAGCAAUCUAAAAGCCAAGUGCUCAUCCAUUUGAGAUUAAUUGCCUCUUCCAGGUCACUAAUUCAUACCCCAGUGUCCCAGGAGAGUUAAUUUAUUUCCCAUGAGUGACCAUUUGACUCUGUGAAGGUAUUUUAACUCACCCGGGCUUAACACAGGACAAAUCUUAUUACUCUAACUUAGUUACACUGCAAUAAACAUGGUUUCCCUUUCUCUUUCCCAGCUUGUUUACUCAGGGCCAGAACUAAGUCUUCCUUUCGACCCUACUCUUUCGACCCUACUAGUGAUUUAACUCAGUUUAAACAGUUCCAAGCCCAGUAAUUUACAAUUAAGAGUGUGUGACAUUAGAGAUGGAAUUUAUAAUAUUUAAAAUAACUUCAAGUAAGGGUAAAUGAAGUCACAUGUUCUAUAAGCAAAUGACAAAUGGAUCUCAGGCCCUUCUGUAAUCAAAUAAGAAUGUGAAGAAUAAAAUUCUUGUAAAAAAUAUUGUUGAUUUCAAUGUUAAGGAUCUAAUUUGGUCACAGUUUUAAAACAAACAGGAGAAAUAAAAAGACAGCAAUCAAUGAACAGCAGCAUGAACAUUCAAAGGCAAAAAUCUGAAAUACAAACAUGAUG